CUCAUUUCAAGAGGCAGCUGUAAAUCUCUCCGAAGGCCAGCAGGCUGUGUCAGGUGCCAGACAAAGGCUUCUUGCCAAGGAAGUCAAGAAACAUGAUAAUGGGAAAGCAAGCUUGUUAGGUUCCAGAGUCACAAACAGAGGAGCAGGAGCUAUUCAGAAUCAAGAGAUCAAAGACGAGGGGACACAUAGUACUUUGCAAGGGACUCUCAAAAAGAAGAAACCCCACAACUGUAUUGACUGUAGGAAAUGUUUUGUGAGGCUAUCAGACUUGGCAAAACAUGACAAUACACAGGUGCCAAGCCUUUUCACUGCAUGGAAUGUGGGAUAAGAUUUAGUCAAUUGUCCCACCUGACUAGACAUCAGAAAAUUCACACAGGGGAAAAACCACACACAUGCACUGAAUGUGGUGCAUCAUUUGGCCAGGGAGCAUCGCUGGUUAGUCAUCAGAGAGUCCACUCUGGAGAACAGCCUUAUCAUUGUUCUAAUUGCCAACAGUACUUCAGCCAUCAGUCAGCACUUAAAGUGCAUGAACGUAUCCACAUGGGCCAGAAACCUUAUAUCUGCCUAGAAUGUGGGAAAAGAUUUGUUUCUUGUUCUACCCUCAAAAUACACAAACGGAUCCAUACAGGAGAAAAACCAUUUUCCUGUGCUGAGUGUGGGAAACGAUUGAUGCAGUGUUCUAACCUGAUUUCAUACCAACGUACACACUCUGGGGAAAAAAAGAAGAUUCAGUUAUCCAUCGGACCUCACCCGGCACCAUAAAAUUCACACGGGAGAAAAACCAUUUCCUUGUGAUGAGUGUGAGAGGAGAUUCACUAGGUUUUCAGAUAUCCUUAUACAUCGGAGAAUCCAUAUUGGGGAGCGCCGAUAUCGCUGCCUAGAAUGUGGGAGGAAAUUCCGUCAGAAAAGUGCAUUGGUAACACACCAGAGAAUCCACAUGAAAGAGACAGCAGCAGGAAAUAUCAAACAUUCACACAAAAAUAAUGAAUUGGAAAUCUGCGACACCGAAGAAAAGGCAUGCAUUCCAGAAGAAACAGGAGUAAAAUGCUUCAAAGGUGAAGGAGCUCACCUCAACUUAUCUUCCUGACUUCAGGUCCAUCCCUUUCUCAUGAUCUUCUUAGGGAAGAAAGUCUAUAGAGAAUGUGAAGAGUUCAUGUAUUGUUCCUUCAAUCACUUCUAUUCCUCCUCCAGUGCUGAUUUUUUCAGGAACAUUGCUGGACUUUGUCCCUAGUUUUAGGAUUAGCCUGGAAUAUUACUGUAGUAGAAGUUGGAAUAUUCUGCUUUGGUUUUUCUCUUGGUAUUUAGAUGUUAUCUGCAUCAAUUCAUUGGGUGUUUGGGCAAUGUUUAUUCACGCAACAAUGACUGGAAAAAGAAAUCGAGCCCUGGUUCCUUGCUUCCUUCUUAUUUUUAGUUUGAAAGGAUGAUAAGUACCCUGGUAAGAAGAAAGUUCUUGUUUCACUGAUUUUGUCAGAUAGAAAAAGGCUUUCAUAUCUGAUUUUUUCCAAAGUUGAGCCAGAGCAUAAGACUUCAGGAAAGAUCAUAUUAUUGAGGAUAAUUUGUGCCAUCAUAUUUUAUAAAAUAGAGAUAGGAAUAUGUCCAUAAAAAAUUGUAAAGUAGACAUCACAUUUCAAUUCAAAAUAAAUACGUACAGAAGAGAAAAA
This is an RNA transcript of Pantherophis guttatus, 1661 nucleotides long. RefSeq lists it as uncharacterized. The record is from RefSeq and is a predicted model, not a curated record. NCBI's taxonomy places the organism in Eukaryota, Metazoa, Chordata, Lepidosauria, Squamata, Colubridae.